Long non-coding RNA from Brachypodium distachyon (stiff brome), 600 nucleotides. RefSeq lists it as uncharacterized. Lineage: Eukaryota; Viridiplantae; Streptophyta; Magnoliopsida; Poales; Poaceae. The transcript is spliced from 2 exons. The record is from RefSeq and is a predicted model, not a curated record.
UGUAUACUCAUUGGGUUGAGAUGAACCCAAUGCUGAACCCAAUGGAAAUCCCCAAACCUUCAUUAGAUUAGUGUAUUUACCUUGUUUAUUAGUAUUAGAUUACAAUGAAUCCAAUAGGGUGAACCCAAUGGCAUUCUGCUCUACCUUCGCCACUGCAUCUCCAGCUCCAGCUCAAGCAAUCCAUGGUGGCAUGAAAGGGAGAGCACACCACACCGAAGCGGCAAGCAGGAUUAUUCAGGCCCCGCGUCUGCAUCUGCAUCUGCUUGGCCGCAUCCAUGUCGAUCCAGCCGGAUAGCAGCGUCCAUUUCCCCGGUCAAGAAGUGGUCCGGCCUCGAUCAGCAAAAAGACCAAGAAAAGCUCUUGCUCGCUGCUCACCGUUGUCAGUGAGUGCGUGGCCAGUGAUCAGUCACCAAUGUGCUUUGCUUAGGCUUGUGUGUUGUUCAGACAAUGCCAUGGCCACUUAAUUAUUACCCCCCGGCUAGUAGCAUUUGUGCUUGAAGAGACAUCAAAUGGGGAUUCAGGUGUUGUUGGUUAAUUGCUCUGUCUAGACAAAAGAGAGUUUUAUUUGUUAUUGAUCUAUUUAUUACUACACAGCUUCAA